ACCAAUAUGGCAUAGUGGUUUGAGUUUUGGACUAUGACUCUAGAGACUAGGGUUCGAUUCCCACUUGGCC
Molecule: transfer RNA, 70 nt
Filed under: Phrynosoma platyrhinos (Desert horned lizard)
Lineage: Eukaryota; Metazoa; Chordata; Lepidosauria; Squamata; Phrynosomatidae
Description: tRNA-OTHER
Source: RNAcentral